This 30-nucleotide non-coding RNA is filed under the name Mus musculus (house mouse). The record is from RNAcentral. Lineage: Eukaryota; Metazoa; Chordata; Mammalia; Rodentia; Muridae.
UGAAAAUUACAGGAAGCCAUUGUUUCGGAC